GACGAACGCUGGCGGCGUGCUUAACACAUGCAAGUCGAACGGAAAGGCCCUGCUUUUGUGGGGUGCUCGAGUGGCGAACGGGUGAGUAACACGUGAGUAACCUGCCCUUGACUUUGGGAUAACUUCAGGAAACUGGGGCUAAUACCGGAUAGGAGCUCCUGCUGCAUGGUGGGGGUUGGAAAGUUUCGGCGGUUGGGGAUGGACUCGCGGCUUAUCAGCUUGUUGGUGGGGUAGUGGCUUACCAAGGCUUUGACGGGUAGCCGGCCUGAGAGGGUGACCGGCCACAUUGGGACUGAGAUACGGCCCAGACUCCUACGGGAGGCAGCAGUGGGGAAUACUGCACAAUGGGCGGAAGCCUGAUGCAGCAACGCCGCGUGCGGGAUGACGGCCUUCGGGUUGUAAACCGCUUUCGCCUGUGACGAAGCGUGAGUGACGGUCAUGGGUAAAGAAGCACCGGCUAACUACGUG
RNAcentral lists this ribosomal RNA (468 nucleotides) under uncultured bacterium. RNAcentral's name for it is "partial 16S ribosomal RNA". It matches the Rfam family "Bacterial small subunit ribosomal RNA", at positions 28 to 507 of the family's 1533-position model. The record is from RNAcentral.